GUCCUUAUGAAUUUAAUUUAAGGUUUGACCUGCCCACUGAAAUUAUUUAAAUGGCCGCAGUAAUUUGACUGUGCAAAGGUAGCAUAAUCAUUAGUUUUUUAAUUAAAAGCUUGUAUGAAGGGUUGGACGAGGUAAAUUCUGUCUCUAUUUAAUUUAAUAUAGAAUUUAAUUUUUAAGUUAAAAAGCUUAAAUUUUUUUAAAAGACGAGAAGACCCUAUAGAUCUUUAUAUAAUAAAAAUUAAUUUUAAUUAAGAAUAUUUUAUUUUUUAAUUUUUAUUUUAUUUUAUUGGGGUAAUAAAAAGAUUAAAUAAAUUCUUUUUUUUAUUUUAACAUUAAUUAAUGGUCACAUGAUCCAAUUUUAUUGAUUAAAAGAUUAAGUUACCUUAGGGAUAACAGCGUAAUUUUUUUAGAGAGUUCAUAUCGAUAAGAAAGUUUGCGACCUCGAUGUUGGAUUAAAAAUUAUCUUAGGUGCAGGAGUUUAAGAUUUUGGUCUGUUCGACCAUUAAAUUUUU
RNAcentral lists this ribosomal RNA (512 nucleotides) under Agabus tristis. Its description in RNAcentral is "partial 16S ribosomal RNA". The stretch from base 389 to 512 matches the Rfam family "Bacterial large subunit ribosomal RNA", at positions 2473 to 2597 of the family's 2925-position model. Lineage: Eukaryota; Metazoa; Arthropoda; Insecta; Coleoptera; Dytiscidae. The record is from RNAcentral.